RNAcentral lists this ribosomal RNA (1557 nucleotides) under Ambystoma mexicanum (axolotl). RNAcentral's name for it is "16S ribosomal RNA". It matches the Rfam family "Bacterial large subunit ribosomal RNA". The record is from RNAcentral. Lineage: Eukaryota; Metazoa; Chordata; Amphibia; Caudata; Ambystomatidae.
GUAGAAAUUAUAGCCUAAUUACCUAACACCUAAAUAUACUAAAACUAAAACAUUUAAAAACUUAAGUAUUGGAGAAAGAAAUUAAAAAUAGAGCUAUAGAAAUAGUACUGCAAAGGAAAUAUGAAAUAGAAAUGAAAUAAAUAAUAAAACAAAUAAAAGAAAAGAUUAUACCUUCUACCUUUUGCAUAAUGGUCUAGCAAGUAAAACUUAGCAAAAAGAAUAAAGUUAACCUCCCCGAAACUAAGCGAGCUACUUUAAAGCAACAUAUAAGUGUUAACCCGUCUAUGUGGCAAAAUAGUGGGAUGACUUUUAAGUAGUGGUGAAAAGCCUAACGAGCUUAGUGAUAGCUGGUUGCUCAAGAAAUGAACUUAAAUUCAACUUUAAAUAUUUUUUAAACACAAAAAGAAACAAAUAAUAUUUUUAAGCUAAUUAAUAAAGGUACAGCUUUAUUAAUAAAGGAAACAACCUAGAUAAUGAAUAAAGAUUAUAUUAUUAAAAGAAAUUAAAAUUGUUGGCCUAAAAGCAGCCAUCAGUAAUGAAAGCGUCACAGCUCAACUUAAUAAAACCUUAUUAUCCCCAUUAAACAAUCAAAAUUCAUUANNAUGUAUUGAGCCAAUCUAUAUCAUAGAUGUGCCUAUGCUAGAACUAGUAACAAGAAUUUAUCUCUAUGUACAUGUGUACAUCAGAACGAAAAACUCACUGAUAAUUAACGUUAAAAUAAUGCAAACUUAGAAAAAUAUAAAUACUUACGUUAAACCAACACAGGGGUACAAAAGAAAGAUUAAAAAUUUAAAAAGGAACUCGGCAAUCAAAGACUUCGCCUGUUUACCAAAAACAUCACCUCUUGCAUAUUAAGUAUAAGAGGCCCUGCCUGCCCAGUGACAUUAGUUUAACGGCCGCGGUAUCAUGACCGUGCAAAGGUAGCGUAAUCACCUGUCUUUUAAUUAAAGACCUGUAUGAAUGGCAAAACGAGAGUCUAACUGUCUCUUUAAAUAAAUCAGUGAAACUAAUCUCCCCGUGCAGAAGCGGGAAUGAUACCAUAAGACGAGAAGACCCUAUGGAGCUUUAAAUUUUACUUAACUAUAAUUUUAUAUUAUCCUAAGGGAAAACCUUAUACUUUUAUAUAUUAAUAAAAAUUUUAGGUUGGGGCGACCACGGAAUAAAGAAAAACUUCCGAGAUGAGAUUUAUAGAAGGACACUUCACAAAAUAGAAAAAUGUAACAUAUUGACCCAAUAAUUGAUCAACGAACCAAGUUACCCUAGGGAUAACAGCGCAAUCUUCUCCAAGAGUUCUUAUCGACGAGUAGGUUUACGACCUCGAUGUUGGAUCAGGACACCCAAAUGGUGCAGCAGCUAUUAAAGGUUCGUUUGUUCAACGAUUAAAGUCCUACGUGAUCUGAGUUCAGACCGGAGUAAUCCAGGUCAGUUUCUAUCUAUGUUUAACUUCCCCUAGUACGAAAGGGCCGGGGAAGUUGGGCCAAUGAAAUAUUAAGCCCAUAACAACUAUUGAAAACAACUAAAAUAGACUGUAGACAAUACAGCCUAAUAUAAAGGCUU